UGGGGAAUCUUGCACAAUGGGCGAAAGCCUGAUGCAGCCAUGCCGCGUGAAUGAUGACGGCCUUAGGGUUGUAAAAUUCUUUCGCCAGGGAUGAUAAUGACAGUACCUGGUAAAGAAGCCCCGGCUAACUUCGUGCCAGCAGCCGCGGUAAUACGAAGGGGGCUAGCGUUGUUCGGAAUUACUGGGCGUAAAGCGCGCGUAGGCGGGCUAUUAAGCCAGAUGUGAAAGCCCGGGGCUCAACCCCGGAAUUGCAUUUGGAACUGGUAGCCUAGAGACCAGGAGAGGUUAGCGGAAUACCGAGUGUAGAGGUGAAAUUCGUAGAUAUUCGGUGGAACACCAGUGGCGAAGGC
Molecule: ribosomal RNA, 350 nt
Filed under: uncultured bacterium
Lineage: Bacteria
Description: bacterial SSU rRNA
Rfam family: Bacterial small subunit ribosomal RNA
Source: RNAcentral